This is a long non-coding RNA of Coffea arabica (coffee), 490 nucleotides long. RefSeq lists it as uncharacterized. NCBI's taxonomy places the organism in Eukaryota, Viridiplantae, Streptophyta, Magnoliopsida, Gentianales, Rubiaceae. The record is from RefSeq and is a predicted model, not a curated record.
UUGUUUCUUCUUAAACUCCUGGAAAAGGAUAUGAGUUUGUCCGAGAAUUGUUCCAGAGUUCUUAUUGAUAUCGUUCGUCAGCCGACUUCGCAGGAAGUAAAACCAGCGUAGCAUUGGGCUGAGAGAUGCUACUCCAAAGAAGAAGAAGCAAUGUAAUUGCAAAAACUCAAGAUGCUUGAAGUUAAGACUUGCAUUGAUCUAAGCAGAAUUUGAGAAGUGGAGAAGCGUGUGUAGGUGCAAUGGGGUAAGAACUUCUGUAAUUGAGUUUUAUAAGAGUCCCAUAGGUCUUCUCUCAUGCUUCAUGUCCUUCAGUCUGAAGUGCUCAUUUUUGGCAUUAUGCUUGAAAUUGAUGGACAGAGAUUUAUUUCAAAAUUCCGCAACUUACCUACUCCAUUUUGUGUUCAGAGUAGUCUUUUAAGGUACAACUGGGGAAUCCUUAUAAUUUUCCCUUGGUACCCUGUAUUUCAUGUGCAUUAUUAUAAUUAGCCAA